Molecule: ribosomal RNA, 585 nt
Filed under: uncultured bacterium
Lineage: Bacteria
Description: bacterial SSU rRNA
Rfam family: Bacterial small subunit ribosomal RNA
Source: RNAcentral
CCUACGGGAGGCAGCAGUGGGGAAUUUUGGACAAUGGGCGCAAGCCUGAUCCAGCAAUGCCGCGUGCAGGAUGAAGGCCUUCGGGUUGUAAACUGCUUUUGUACGGAACGAAACGGCUCCUUCUAAUACAGGGGGCUAAUGACGGUACCGUAAGAAUAAGCACCGGCUAACUACGUGCCAGCAGCCGCGGUAAUACGUAGGGUGCAAGCGUUAAUCGGAAUUACUGGGCGUAAAGCGUGCGCAGGCGGUUAUAUAAGACAGAUGUGAAAUCCCCGGGCUCAACCUGGGACCUGCAUUUGUGACUGUAUAGCUAGAGUACGGUAGAGGGGGAUGGAAUUCCGCGUGUAGCAGUGAAAUGCGUAGAUAUGCGGAGGAACACCGAUGGCGAAGGCAAUCCCCUGGACCUGUACUGACGCUCAUGCACGAAAGCGUGGGGAGCAAACAGGAUUAGAUACCCUGGUAGUCCACGCCCUAAACGAUGUCAACUGGUUGUUGGGUCUUCACUGACUCAGUAACGAAGCUAACGCGUGAAGUUGACCGCCUGGGGAGUACGGCCGCAAGGUUGAAACUUAAAUGAAUUGACGG